GACGAACGCUGGCGGCGUGCUUAACACAUGCAAGUCGAGCGGAGCGGCGAACGGGUGAGUACCGCGUGAAUAACUGCCCCCCUCUCGGGCAUAACAGUUGGAAACGACUGCUAAUACCAGAUAGUGGGGGGGGAUUCGCGUCCUAUCAUCUUGUUGGUGGGGUAGUGGCCGACCAAGGCGACGACGGGUCACCGGCCUGAGAGGGCGACCGGCCAUAUUGGGCGGAGAUACGGCCCAAACUCCUACGGGAGGCAGCAGUGGGGAAUAUUGCACAAUGGGGGAAACCCUGAUGCAGCAACGCGCGUGCGGGAUGACGGCCUUCGGGUUGUAAACCGCUUUCAGCCAUGACGCGGUAGUGGCAGAAGAAGCACCGGCUAACUACGUGCCAGCAGCCGCGGUAAUAC
This 404-nucleotide ribosomal RNA is filed under the name uncultured bacterium. RNAcentral describes it as "partial 16S ribosomal RNA". It matches the Rfam family "Bacterial small subunit ribosomal RNA", at positions 28 to 526 of the family's 1533-position model. The record is from RNAcentral.